RNAcentral lists this ribosomal RNA (463 nucleotides) under uncultured bacterium. RNAcentral describes it as "bacterial SSU rRNA". It matches the Rfam family "Bacterial small subunit ribosomal RNA", at positions 26 to 518 of the family's 1533-position model. The record is from RNAcentral.
AGAACGAACGCUGGCGGCAGGUCUUAGGCAUGCAAGUCGAACGGAUGACAGAGAGCUUGCUCUCUGAAGUCAGUGGCGCACGAGUGAGUAACGCGUGGGAAACUGCCCUUCACUGGGGAAUAACGUUUGGAAACGAACGCUAAUACCGCAUACGCCCGCAAGGGGAAAGAUUUAUCGGUGAUGGAUGUGCCCGCGUUGGAUUAGCCAGUUGGUGGGGUAAUGGCCUACCAAAGCAAUGAUCCAUAGCUGGUCUGAGAGGACGAUCAGCCACGCUGGAACUGAGACACGGUCCAGACUCCUACGGGAGGCAGCAGCUAAGAAUAUUGGGCAAUGGAGGAAACUCUGAACCCCCAGCCAUGCCGCGUGAAUGAAGAAGGCCUUCGGGUUGUAAAGUUCUUUUAGUCAUGAAGAUGGUGACAGUAGUGACAGAAAAAGCACCGGCUAACUUCGUGCCAGCCGCGGC